UCGAGGAUAGGUAAAAGUUGUUUCUCAAGCUCUAUGGUUACUCCAUGGUGACCAGCACUUUUAAUCGUGUGAUGGCCGGCGACUAUUUUCCAUUUUGCCAUUGAUUCUUGCAAUGCCACAUCCACAUCCUAUAUAUUAAUUUGGAUUAGGUGCAUGUUAAUCACAUGUUUUUGAUAUUUUAAUUAGCUUAGGGUAGAGUAAUUAAUAAGAAAACAAAAUAGUUACCGUUAAGAGAUUGGUACGGUACUGUUUUCUUGGUAAUACUCCUCUCCAAUCAUAGACAUGGUCCUUUGGUUCAUCGAAAUAUUUAUCUACGAACGGUGUCGUGUCCACGAAGAAAAUAUCCACAAGUUCUAC
RNAcentral lists this long non-coding RNA (357 nucleotides) under Capsella grandiflora. Its description in RNAcentral is "long non-coding RNA (CGRA_LNC000332)". Lineage: Eukaryota; Viridiplantae; Streptophyta; Magnoliopsida; Brassicales; Brassicaceae. The record is from RNAcentral.